RNAcentral lists this ribosomal RNA (433 nucleotides) under uncultured bacterium. RNAcentral's name for it is "partial 16S ribosomal RNA". It matches the Rfam family "Bacterial small subunit ribosomal RNA", at positions 29 to 507 of the family's 1533-position model. The record is from RNAcentral.
AACGAACGCUGGCGGCAUGCCUAACACAUGCAAGUCGAACGAAACCUUCGGGUCUAGUGGCGCACGGGUGCGUAACGCGUGGGGACCUGCCCUUAGGUUCGGAAUAACUCCCCGAAAGGGGUGCUAAUACCGGAUAAUGUCUUCGGACCAAAGAUUUAUCGCCUUUGGAUGGGCCCGCGUUGGAUUAGCUAGUUGGUAGGGUAAGAGCCUACCAAGGCGACGAUCCAUAGAUGGUCUGAGAGGAUGAUCAGCCACACUGGGACUGAGACACGGCCCAGACUCUUACGGGAUGCAGCAGUGCGGAAUAGUGGACAAUGGGCGAAAGCCUGAACCAGCUCGGCCGCGUGAGUGAUGAAGGCCUUAGGGUUGUAAAGCUCUUUUACCCGUGCUGAUAAUGACAGUACCGGGAGAAUAAGCUCCGGCUAACUCCGUG